UUCGAUGAUUCCAAGAUUUCGCAAAUCAUGAGAGGAGUUGGUUGGGUUUGAAGAUUUUUCAAGGCAAUUUACAGAAAAUCGAAGGAUUGGUCUAUUGUAUCUGUUAACCCUCAAAAGAUUGAGGAAACGGCAGAGUAAUUGUCAGACGCGGGGAGGAGGAGGACAAUUGGUUCAUUGUAGUGUUUUUCUAUUACGAAUUCAAGCAUGCUACAGAUGAGAGAAUCCGACUUGAAGAAAUGCGUCACAAGGUUCUUUCUGGUGAUUGAAGUCAAUAAACUAUCUGGAUAAAGAAAAAAAAUUGAUAUGAUGGAAAUUCUGCUGAGAGGGGGAAGUGAAUGGUGGAGAGACAAGAGAGGCAGAGACCUCUCUUGAUUUAUUUGUAACUUUAUCCGAGUGCAGAAGUUUCAAUUGUAGGUUUUACCUAAAAAGGCCUCCCAGCUACUGUGGAAUUGUGCUGAUCACAUAAAGCAUUGGGGAUGGAUAUGCAACAUUUUCAGUCAAGAUUCUAGAUCAUUUGGUAAGUAAUUUUUUUUCUCCAUAUGCUUAUCCUUUUUCCUCCCCCUUUUCUAGCACUCAUACGCACAUCUACAUGUAUGCAUGCAUGACCCAUAUAUGCACACUCACACAAACACCUCAGGGCAUUAAUAUUAAGCAAAAACAUGCACACACACAGCAGACCAGAAGACACACGUUUGUACUUGCAUACAUAGGACACACCUCAUAUAGAAGACCUAUAAAUCACACCUCAUACAGAAGACAUACAAAAAAUGAAUCAAUUUCCAAGUAAUUUAUAUAGGAAAGAUUUAUGCUUGGAACAUUUGAUUAAACACAUUUAGAAAACCGCGGGCCACACACUAGUGUUUAGAUUAUAAAAGGUCCUUUCUGACAAAUUUUCCUUAUUUAUUUGUAUUCUAUUAUAUUGUAUGGGAUGUCUAGCAUACUUUGAGCCAAUUAUUCGUACUUCGUUGUACUAUUUAUUUUACCACAUGUGAAGGGUUAGCUCACAUAAGCCACCGCACAUGUAGGGUUCAGUUGGGAAUAUUUUGUAUGAAAUGGAUUAGGAUUUGUCGUGCAAGGGCACAACUCUCAUGUUAAUUGGCAUGAUGUGGAAUCUCACUUUCGUGAGGAGGAACAUGGUAAUAAUUUCACAAGUGUCUUGCUUGGUUGAUCACAAGUCUUAAAGAAAAAAUAAGAUUGUUUUGGUUGUCAUUUAUUAAUUGUAUGUGUGUACGUUAUUGAGUCUUGAGUUAACCUUUAAUAAAAUAUUAAUAAACGUAAAGUGCAACCAGAACAAGCUUCAAAACUCUUGGAACGUAUAUACCUUGAGUAUGAACAAUGGGGGGAGUCUUGCCGGAAAGCUCGUACUCCUACUAAUGAUACAAGACGUUGUUUCAUUCAUAUUAUGCGCAGGAAUUCCGUCGGUAUGGCCCGACACUCGGUAUGGCCCGAUUUUAUUAUUUAUUAUUUUGGUGUAUGGUUGGAUCCCAUCACCUUUCCUUUAUGGAACAUUCUUUUGGCCCGUUCGAAGCUUAUUCUAAUUAAAUUGUGAGUCAAGAGUCGAGUCAAGAGUCGAAUCUUGUAUUCAUGAUUUGUUUGUUAAUUAUUAUAUGGCUUUUGCAUGUUGAUUAGUACUUAGUGAGUGAUGCAUGUUUUUAGUUUUAUUUCACUCUAUUCUUGUAAGUACUCAGCUUUUGCUGACUACGUGCUUUGUGUUUCUUUGGUCAUGACCCUAUGAUGAUUAUCAUUUGCACUUGCAUUGAUGGGGAGUAGAAUAAUAUAGCAGGUUGGUAGAUCGAAAUCAUGUGGCUUGGGAUGAUCGAGAGAGUUGCAUGCUUUCGUAUUUUGAACUAUUUAUUUAUACUUUAAUUAUGUUUGAAAUUGUUGAACUUUUUAUACUUUGGUUUUUGGGCCGUCAUGGUUGCAAAUUGUAGGAGGCCUCGAUAUUUCAUUUAUUAUGUUUUUAAAAGUUAGUUGACAUUAAAUUCCGCUGCGUAAUUCUGGUACUAGCCUUAACCGUUAUCACGGUGGCGGUAAUACUUUAGUAAUUCCUUUAUUUUAAGUUGGAAAAUGGUUUUACAAAAGCAAGGAAUUAUUAGGGUGUUACACUUGGGGAUAUUUGGCAUGCUUUGUGCUUUGUUACUAUAUAGUUGUCCCUUCGAGUAGAAGUGCUAUAACCCAUAAUAUUGCUCCACCCCUCCCAUUUUUUAAGCAAAUGCUCACAAGGACUAGAAGCCAAGCAAGAGCUCCAUGGCACCAUUUCCCUUAAAGUUAUCAAGUUUCCUGUGGGUGAUCUUUUGAAAACAUCUGUAGAAGUCUUAGAUAAAUUAGGGUAAUGUUAUGCACUAUUGUAUAACGAGUGCCGAUGGUUGUUUCAGGCUUUUAACAACAUUUUCUUGUAGCUUUUGAUAAAUUCAACUGAUUUGUCGUGCUCCUAAACGUUGAUUUGUAAUACGGCAAUAUAUUGCAGGCAGUAUG
This is a long non-coding RNA of Spinacia oleracea (spinach), 2475 nucleotides long. RefSeq lists it as uncharacterized. The record is from RefSeq and is a predicted model, not a curated record. Lineage: Eukaryota; Viridiplantae; Streptophyta; Magnoliopsida; Caryophyllales; Amaranthaceae. The transcript is spliced from 4 exons.